This is a non-coding RNA of Podarcis lilfordi (Lilford's wall lizard), 101 nucleotides long. Lineage: Eukaryota; Metazoa; Chordata; Lepidosauria; Squamata; Lacertidae. The record is from the annotation of a GenBank genome assembly.
AGAAUUCUGGGUGCUGUAGUUUGUUAAGGAUGCCGAGUGGAAAAGCAGUCUCUUCUUAACAAUGCCUAGCACCCUUAACAAACUACAGCUCCCAGAAUUCU